Danio rerio (zebrafish) is the source of this 115-nucleotide ribosomal RNA. The record is from Ensembl. Lineage: Eukaryota; Metazoa; Chordata; Actinopteri; Cypriniformes; Danionidae.
GCUGACAGCUAGCUCUCUGCAACUCUCAAUUGGUUGUCCACUGAAACUAAGCAGGGCGGCACCCAGUCUGUACCUGGAUGGGAGACCACAUGGGAAAGCUAGAUUGCUGCCAUAA